This is a long non-coding RNA of Herpailurus yagouaroundi (jaguarundi), 1711 nucleotides long. RefSeq lists it as uncharacterized. The record is from RefSeq and is a predicted model, not a curated record. The transcript is spliced from 3 exons. NCBI's taxonomy places the organism in Eukaryota, Metazoa, Chordata, Mammalia, Carnivora, Felidae.
UGCCCACAAUAUUCUGGGAGCAGAGUCACCUAUUUCAGAGCCACGUGUUCAGGUGUUACUGCGGGGUGCCUGCAGGUUUGGGAUUAUGAUGGCCACAUCAUCUAGCACCUUCUGAAACUAGAAGAGCCCCAGGUCAGCCUACUCAAAGGCCACAAGGAUUCAGAUCAGCCAUGUGUGACAAGAGAUCCAAAUCCAAACUCUCUCCAGAUAUCCAGACUCCCCGACCGGCCUACCAACCGUCCGGCAAGCAAAAACUAUCACAGUACGUGCUAAAUCAACAAACCGUAAGAGGAAGCAAGGAAGAUAGAAAUGCAUCUUCGGAAAGAGGAGCCCUUCUACGUUCUUACUGCCCUUUAUUUACUUAGGGUCUGGACACCUGGCCCUGCUGGGGAUCAGCCAGACCAAAUAGCAUCCCUGCACUCAGCGGCUUUGCUGUCUCCACCAGAGACCCCGUUAGACUGGAGGAGCCUCUGAAAACUUGCCCUUCUCCGGGCAAGCUGCUUACUGGGAGCGGCAGCUAUAGAUUUCUGCCCCAAUUGUUUUUGGCUUGGACAGCCUAUGCUUUUACAAACAGACCCUGACCGCCCUGAAGUCAUUUCUGUCCUGGAUCUCCAUCCCAGGCCACUGUAUUGUUUUCAUUUCCUGUGCUUCUGCACUUCCUUACCAUAACAUUAUCGCACAUUCCCGGCGCUACUGGGCGGCAGGCGGGCUGAUACACCAUCAUUUGGCAUCAGUCGAAAUUGUUCCAUAGAACUUCUAAUCACGGGUCCCUUAAGGCGCCCCGCAGGAGCUUACAGCAACUCGGGAGCGAAUGUCACAGGAAUGCAAAGCCUGACGUGAGACGUGGUAUAUAUUUCCAAGAUAGGCUGCCUUCUAUUGAAAUUGGCUGGUGAGGAAUCCCACGCGCCCAGCAAGGAAUCGGGAAGUGGAAUGUACACAGUGAGGUGCAUAUGGAAUCCCCAACCUCCCUUUUACCCGGGUCUCAUAAGUGAGAUAAGUUACCAAACCCCAAGGGCAGAUGGCCACCGUCCUGACAGCGCUACAGAUCUUUCCCCUUCUUGGGCAAGCUGCCCCAACUACCUGCUCCACAACGGUAUACAGCGCCAAACAGUACAGUUUUAUGGUGCCAAACGAGUAAACUUCUGUUGAUGAAAACUUCAAAAACCAAAAGGAACACCUGUUCCUGGUAAGGAUUAAAACAAACAGAAGGGAGUAUUAAAUUCUAGGCAAACAGUAGCUUCCUUGUAUCACCCAGAAGACAGAGGGACUCAGAAAGACAAAAUGCAACACCGAGAAAGAAAUUCACAAAGGCGUCUCUGCCUACAGUUUCUGCACAUUCCUCCACCUUGCCCUUCUUCUCCCCUCUACCAAACAGCCCAGGAGGUAAAGGAAAGGAGAUGAGUUACUCAAUCUACUUGCCUACCUGGAUGAUUCUAAAAAGGGUACCCCUGAACCAGACCAGGAGGUGGUAGCUUUAUGAGAGUGGGGGCCAAGUCCACAUUCUUGUUCAGCUCCCGCGAGAUGAACUUACUAGUGGUCUGGAGGAGGCCAUGCUGGGGAGAAGAAUGUCAUCUCUGCCAAAGAGCAAGACAGUGGUCUACUGGCACUGAUCUUGGACCCGGGGGUGAUGCUGAGUGGCCUUCCCAUGGCAGUUGGUACACCAGAUCUCUCUCCCAACUUGUGCUUGUAUUUUUUUUUUUAAUGUUGCUAU